RNAcentral lists this ribosomal RNA (661 nucleotides) under uncultured bacterium. RNAcentral describes it as "bacterial SSU rRNA". The stretch from base 1 to 539 matches the Rfam family "Bacterial small subunit ribosomal RNA", at positions 338 to 873 of the family's 1533-position model. The record is from RNAcentral.
CCUACGGGAGGCAGCAGUAAGGAAUAUUGGACAAUGCUCGCAAGAGUGAUCCAGCCAUGCCGCGUGCAGGAAGAAUGCCCUAUGGGUAGUAAACUGCUUUUGAACUAGAGAAAACCCCAGUACGUGUACUGGGCUGAUAGUAUAGUUAGAAUAAGCAUCGGCUAACUUCGUGCCAGCAGCCGCGGUAAGACGAAGGAUGCAAGCGUUAUCCGGAUUCAUUGGGUUUAAAGGGAGCGUAGGUGGACUUAUAAGUCAGUGGUGAAAUCUCCGAGCUUAACUCGGAAAUUGCCAUUGAUACUGUAGGUCUUGAGUACAGUUGCUGUGGGCGGAAUAUGACAUGUAGUGGUGAAAUACAUAGAGAUGUCAUAGAACACCGAUUGCGAAGGCAGCUCACAAAGCUGUAACUGACACUGAGGCUCGAAAGUGCGGGGAUCAAACAGGAUUAGAUACCCUGGUAGUCCGCACCGUAAACGAUGAUUACUCGCUGCUAGGGGGCAACCGUUUAGUGGCUUAGACGAAGACGAAGUAAGUAAGUUACCGACCGUCGGGGUUAGGUUACGGUACCGGGCCGGACCGGGUUACGGAAACCGUUACCGAAACGUUAGAAGUUAGUUACGGCGUUGGAGACGUUGCCGACGGACGACCGACGAGGGGAGGUAGG